Molecule: long non-coding RNA, 236 nt
Organism: Alligator sinensis (Chinese alligator)
Lineage: Eukaryota; Metazoa; Chordata; Crocodylia; Alligatoridae
Exons: 3
Source: RefSeq, a predicted model, not a curated record
CUCUGAUGGAUAGGUUUGUGUUGCACCUGCUCUCCACACAAAGCUGGACCAGAGCUAAGACUACAAGGAUUUCUCUUUGUCUGAUCUGACCUAUUUGACACUUGUAAUACACCCAUCACUAUGAAUGAACAGUAUCCAUCUCCCUCUUGUUUGAGAAACAAGAAUCACGAUACAGCCCCUACAAGCAGUGCAAGUAUCAGGGACAAGCUGAGAAAAUGCUCUUCCAAAGUCCCAAC